AUGGUGACUCCAUCACAGAUUCUUGGCCUUCUGCUCCUCUGGGUUCCAGACUCCCAUGGUGAGAUUGUGCUGACCCAGUCUCCUGCCAUCCUGUCCAUGGCUCCAAAAGAAGGAGUCACCAUCACCUGCUGGGCCAGUCAGAACAUUAACAAAUGGUUAGCCUGGUAUCAGCAGGAGCCAGAGAGAGCUCCCAAGCUCCUGAUCUAUGAAGCAUCCAAGUUGGAAACUGGGGUCCCAUCGCAGUUCAGCUGCAGUGGGUCUGGGACAGACAUCACACUCAGCAUCAGCAGCCUGGAGCCUGAAGAUGCUGGGACCUACUACUGCCUGCAGUCUAACAGCUACCCGCCCUCAGUGUUACAGGUCAGAGCAUAA
Molecule: non-coding RNA, 372 nt
Organism: Enhydra lutris kenyoni (northern sea otter)
Lineage: Eukaryota; Metazoa; Chordata; Mammalia; Carnivora; Mustelidae
Source: the annotation of a RefSeq genome assembly